This 879-nucleotide long non-coding RNA is filed under the name Durio zibethinus. Its description in RNAcentral is "long non-coding RNA (DZIB_LNC000263)". The record is from RNAcentral. Lineage: Eukaryota; Viridiplantae; Streptophyta; Magnoliopsida; Malvales; Malvaceae.
AAUAAUCAAACAUAUUAAUCAAAAAAUUAAAAUAUAAUUAAAUAAAUUCAAUUUAAAAUUAAAUUAAAUCCAAACACGAUAAAAUAACGUUGUAGAUCCAAAAGGCCUAAAAAGUCUUAAUGAAAACCAACAAGAGCCUAAAGAGUAGACUGAAAUUUGAGGCUAGAGAAAGUAAUGUUUUCUCUUACCUGUUUGGAGCUCGAGAAAAUCGAAGAAACAGCCUGGGUUUGAGGAGGUACUGGAAUUGUACGUCGUGGCAAAUCCUUGACACUGUAUCGAUGGUAUUUUUCUGGGCUUUGAUUUAUACAUCUCUCUGCAUUGGUUUCAACUGUGAUUAAAAUGGAGAAGGGGAGGGAAAAGGAGCUUUAACUUACAAGCAGAAGUCAUGGAACAGCCUGGGACGCAAAUAAAAUCGCCCAAAUCAGAGAAGCGAACAGUCUAGGAGCAGAGUGAGAAGAAGAUAUUAAAGAUCUCUGUUUCAGCAAAGCUGGGCUUCCAUGAUGAAAACUUUCCUAAUUUCGAGCACUGAAACUCUACCGCAAGACCAUUCACUUCUCUGAUUGGGCAAAUUCUCAACUGUUCCAUGAUGUUCAUUUCUAUUACCAGCUCUGCAAAUUCAGGGAUUCAUUCGAAGUCAAAAAAAAUUUAACGAGUUUAAGACGACAUAUUUUCGUUCGAGAAAGCGCGAGCUGAAAUUCUCCAUUUCUCUUCUUCCAAGUCUUCGUUGAAAACGACAACUGAGGCUCGCGAGGAUCGUGAAGCUUUCGCUCGAAAGUGGCGAGGGUCGGGCGAUCAAGAAAAGACAAGAUAGUACUAAGACUUUGGUUAAAUGUUACAUAAUUCUUCACAUUAGAAAAAGAGGAUUGCCAGCUGCAACCG